ACAGAAAAGUGAGGCUUAAGGAGCUGGGGCCUUCAGCCGAGGACACGGACCCGCCGGGAUCUGAUGGCCCCCAAGGCAGAGCUGGUGACGUCACAGAAAAACCAUGGGCUUGAGGUAGCGAGGUUGGGCUCCACUCCAGUGGCCUGGCCGUGGUGAGAAGGCGUGGUACCACCACACCCUGCUGAGAAGUGCCGGCCCUCGGAUGGCUUUCUUGGCUCGCUUUGCAGACAAUACCAUCUCUCCCGCGGGGAGCCACGUCUCCCAUAGCCCGCACGCCUGGGGUUCAGGUGGGGCCGACCCCACCCUGUGGCUUUAGACUCAGGAUGUGACCCAGUCACGAACACAGACUUGGAGACUCUGUAGCAGCUGUGGGUGAAGAAGACACUCUUCCUGCGGGAGCUGCCAAGAUGAUAGGAUGCGGCUUGGAACUGCAGGUAGCCAUCUUUCUCCGCCUGGGAACGAAGCCAACAAGGAGGAAAGAGAACUAAGAGAUGGAGAGAAUGGGCCGUCAGGCAUCAGUAAGCCCCUGGGUCCAGCCACACCUGAAGCCGACUGCACCCCUGGCCUAACCUGGUUGUAUGAGCCAAUGCCUUUCUCUGGUUGGGUUUAUGUUACAAAGGGUUCUAAUACAGGGCAGUAUUUUUCUUUGCUCUGAAUUGUACUUUCUAUGCAAUGAAAUCCACCGAUGUUAAGUGUACAAUUCAGAAGUCUAGUCAGACAUGUACACCCUUGCAGAGACCACCGUAAUGAAGGUACGUAACGUUUCUCAUCACCCCCCAGAUGUUCUGUCGCUCCCACGCCAGCCAGCCCCUCCUGCCUCGGCCACUGACAGGCCUUUGCUCCAGUGGUUGCCUUUGCCUUUCCUAUCGCCUGGUGUGCGUGUGUGUGGUCACUUACCCGUGGCAGGUUUGGAGAGCCAUCCGUUUGCAUCAGCAGGGCAUCGCGUGUGUGCACACGGUUUGUCCAUGGAUUGGAUGCUGGCUGUUUAGAAUACACUCAUGGAGAACACCCACACGGCCAUCUGUGCACGUGUCUGUGUCGGUACCUGGACGUCCAUCUCAUUUUACAGUGGCGGAGGCCAAGGCUCAGAGUGGUGGGUCAACUUGUCCAGGGUCGCGGGGCUGGUGCAGGGGCUACAGCUGCGGUGCCGGGGUGCCCUCCAUGCAGGCAGCUUGAGGCCACUCAGGGAGGAGCUCACAGAACCCUGGAAGCAAGAGCGCGGCUGCAAGGAGGACGCGGCUGCAAGGAGGACGCUCAAGACAAGGCACAGCCUUGACCCUCACCUGUCACCCCUCCCUGUGGAUCCCAGGGCUUCAGAGGCGAUUUCCACCAAACAGAUCAUGGGCAGAACGCCAGGCGCCGCCGCCUCCCGGGGGAUCCAGAAGCACCUGUGCGCUGACCGUCGGGUCCCUGAGUGGGCCAGCAGAGGGCGGGACCUGCAGUGGAAAUCAUUCCAGCCAGAGACAGCACCAUGGAGGCCCCUAUCCUCUCCACCCUCGAGGGAGGUACUGAGAAGUCAAGUCACAGAGCUGGAGCGAGGGUCUGUCGCAUCCGUAUGUCUCCCCCCAUCUCCCCUGCCCCAUGCACUGGACCCCGCGCCACUUGCCCUGCCUCGAGGAGCAAAGUCCCGGCAGCUCCACAGCGGAAGCCGACGACAGCCCGGGUUCCCAAAGGGCUGGCGAAGGGGCCGGAAGUGCCAGGCCGGUAGUGUGGGCGGGGCUUGUUCUGGGAGGAUGGGAGGCUGCGUCCCUCGCGCUUGUUCCUGCACUGCUGUGCGGCUCGGUGUGCGCCGUGCAUGGCUGCCCAGCUGUCUCCCCGCCCCUCACUUCUGCUCCCUCCGCCUUGCUGCUCUGGGAUUCUGCCUCCACCUCCAAGCGGAGCGCUUCGUUCCUCGCCAACAGCUGUUUCCCAGGGAACCCGGCACGCCGGCUCCAGGGGUCGGUCCAGCAACUGUGUGGCCGCAGCAGGUGUCGGACUCGAGGGCGGAGGCGUGGCGGCGGGAGUGACUGUGCACUGCUGUGCUCUCAGCACAGGGCUGGCAGAGCAGGUGGGGACAAGGAUGCUGCCACACUUCUCAGUGCCCUGAUCCCUUCCCACCCACGCACGAGGUCCCAUCGGCCGAGUCGUCUCUGUCCCGGCCAGGAUUACACAGGCUGUGGCCUGCCUGCUGCCUCUUCUGCCUGUUACGGGUGCAUCGGCGCUCCCAGAUCCUCUAGGUACGAAACGCUGGCGAGUGCUUGGCUUCUCUGAGCCACUUGCUCCGUCUGUUGGAUGGGACUGCUGGGAGUCUGACUCCAGUCUUGAGCCUGGUGCGGGGGUGUAGGGGGCAUUGUCAAAACUGCUUGUCCAUCAUCACUUCUUGCAGGGACAGCCCCGCUCCUGGAGGCCACCCCUCCUCCGUUCCCAGUGAAAGCUGCUGAGCCUUGCCCCACCCUGUUCCACAAGGACCAGGCAGGGGACCCGAGUCUGUCCGGUCCCUGUAGCAGUGCCCCAGAGUUUCACUAAAACCAUUAGCUUGGAGCUGAGGACGUUGUUACUGUUUGGCCAUGGGAGACUGGAGAGUGGGGAGGCAAGAGAUGGAAUCAGACACAUAGGUCUGCUGAUGCCUCUGUGGCCCCAUGGAUCCAGCUGUGCCAGGAGCUGGUUACCCUCUCGUAGGUUUAGGAACGAACCGUCAGCCAAGUUUGUCUUCGCUUAAGCCAGUUUGAGUUGAGUUGAUCACUUAACACAGGACGUAACUCUUCCCAUCUCAUUCUACAGGGCCAACUUUACCUCGAAUCCAGAACCAGACAUGGAGACAACAAAAAGAGAAAACUGUAGGACAAUUUCUUUGAUGAAGACGGAUGCAGAAGUUCCCAGUGAAAUACCAGCAAAUUGAACCCAAAACACAUCAGAAAGAGCCCUCACGCUCACCAAGUGAGAUGGAUCCCAGCAGUGCAAGGAGGGUUCAGCACACACGCAUUGGGGACGUCAUCCUUGUCAACAGAAUGAAGAAUGAAAAUCGUGAUUCCUCAAGAGAUGAAGGAAAGUAUUGAAUAAAAUUCAACAUCCAUUCCUGAUUUUAAAAACG
This 3070-nucleotide long non-coding RNA is filed under the name Oryctolagus cuniculus (rabbit). RNAcentral's name for it is "lncRNA (ENSOCUG00000035570.1)". Lineage: Eukaryota; Metazoa; Chordata; Mammalia; Lagomorpha; Leporidae. The record is from RNAcentral.